CCGAGCAUAGCUCAGUUGGAAGAGCGUGGGUUUGUAAUGGAUGCCCUGGCUAAUCACCCAAUGUCCCUGGUUCGAUCCCGGGUGCUCGGA
Molecule: transfer RNA, 90 nt
Filed under: Violaceomyces palustris
Lineage: Eukaryota; Fungi; Basidiomycota; Ustilaginomycetes; Violaceomycetales; Violaceomycetaceae
Description: tRNA-Tyr
Rfam family: tRNA
About the family: Transfer RNA (tRNA) molecules are approximately 80 nucleotides in length. Their secondary structure includes four short double-helical elements and three loops (D, anti-codon, and T loops).
Source: RNAcentral